AGAGUUUGAUCCUGGCUCAGAAUGAACGCUGGCGGCGUGCUUAACACAUGCAAGUCGUACGAGAAAUCUCCUGCUUGCAGGAGAGAGUAAAGUGGCGAACGGGUGAGUAACGCGUGGGUAAUCUACCUCCGAAUCUGGGAUAACAUUGCGAAAGCGAUGCUAAUACCGGAUGGUAUCUUGCGACUAACGUUGUCGAGAUUAAAGGUGGCCUCUACAAGUAAGCUACCGUUUGGAGAUGAGCCCGCGUGCCAUUAGCUUGUUGGUAGGAUAACGGCCUACCAAGGCGACCAUGGCUAGCUGAUCUGAGAGGAUGAUCAGCCACACUGGAACUGAGACACGGUCCAGACUCCUACGGGAGGCAGCAGUGAGGAAUCUUGCGCAAUGGGGGAAACCCUGACGCAGCAACGCCGUGUGAGUGAUGAAGGCUUUCGAGUCGUAAAGCUCUGUCAAGUGGGAAGAACCUGUCGGAUGUUAAUACCAUCAGGCACUGACGUACCACUGGAGAAGCACCGCUAACU
RNAcentral lists this ribosomal RNA (518 nucleotides) under uncultured bacterium. RNAcentral's name for it is "bacterial SSU rRNA". It matches the Rfam family "Bacterial small subunit ribosomal RNA", at positions 8 to 502 of the family's 1533-position model. The record is from RNAcentral.